RNAcentral lists this ribosomal RNA (253 nucleotides) under uncultured bacterium. Its description in RNAcentral is "partial 16S ribosomal RNA". It matches the Rfam family "Bacterial small subunit ribosomal RNA", at positions 524 to 776 of the family's 1533-position model. The record is from RNAcentral.
CACGUAGGGUGCGAGCGUUGUCCGGAAUUAUUGGGCGUAAAGAGCUCGUAGGCGGUCUGUCGCGUCGGCUGUGAAAACCCGAGGCUCAACCUCGGGCCUGCAGUCGAUACGGGCAAACUGGAGUGUUGCAGGGGAGACUGGAAUUCCUGGUGUAGCGGUGAAAUGCGCAGAUAUCAGGAGGAACACCGCCGGCGAAGGCAGCACUCUGGGCCGGUACUGACGCUGAGGAGCGAAAGCAUGGGGAGCGAACAGG